RNAcentral lists this ribosomal RNA (322 nucleotides) under uncultured eukaryote. Its description in RNAcentral is "partial 18S ribosomal RNA". It matches the Rfam family "Eukaryotic small subunit ribosomal RNA", at positions 1470 to 1796 of the family's 1831-position model. The record is from RNAcentral.
CCCUUAGAUGUUCUGGGCCGCACGCGUGCUACACUGAGUGGAUCAGCGGGUCAGGUUGCGCGAAAGUGUUUCCUAAUCUUGAAAUCCGCUCGUGAUGGGGAUUGACGGUUGCAAUUUUCCGUCAUGAACGAGGAAUACCUUGUAAGCGCGGGUCAUCAUCCCGCGCUGAAUACGUCCCUGCCCUUUGUACACACCGCCCGUCGCUCCCACCGAUUGAGUGGUCCGGUGAGGCUUUGGGAUCUGAGCAAAGAGAGCGUUUCGCUCGUUUUGCUCGGAAAACUCAGUCGAACCUUAUCAUUUAGAGGAAGGAGAAGUCGUAACA